Molecule: ribosomal RNA, 473 nt
Filed under: uncultured organism
Description: partial 16S ribosomal RNA
Rfam family: Bacterial small subunit ribosomal RNA
Source: RNAcentral
UACACUCCUGCGGGAGGCAGCAGUAGGGAAUCUUCGGCAAUGGGGGCAACCCUGACCGAGCAACGCCGCGUGAGUGAAGAAGGUUUUCGGAUCGUAAAGCUCUGUUGUAAGUCAAGAACGAGUGUGAGAGUGGAAAGUUCACACUGUGACGGUAGCUUACCAGAAAGGGACGGCUAACUACGUGCCAGCAGCCGUGGUAAUACGUAGGUCCCGAGCGUUGUCCGGAUUUAUUGGGCGUAAAGCGAGCGCAGGCGGUUUGAUAAGUCUGAAGUUAAAGGCUGUGGCUCAACCAUAGUUCGCUUUGGAAACUGUCAAACUUGAGUGCAGAAGGGGAGAGUGGAAUUCCAUGUGUAGCGGUGAAAUGCGUAGAUAUAUGGAGGAACACCGGUGGCGAAAGCGGCUCUCUGGUCUGUAACUGACGCUGAGGCUCGAAAGCGUGGGGAGCGAACAGGAUUAGAUACCCGGGUAGUCCC